RNAcentral lists this ribosomal RNA (153 nucleotides) under Triticum aestivum (bread wheat). Its description in RNAcentral is "partial small subunit ribosomal RNA". The record is from RNAcentral. Lineage: Eukaryota; Viridiplantae; Streptophyta; Magnoliopsida; Poales; Poaceae.
AUGGCGUCGUUCAAUGACACGCAGGCUGCUCCAAAACCUCCAAUAUAUAUAGGGGGAGAGGGGGCUGCGCCCCCUUUAGGGUUUCCCACCCCAAGGGGUGCGGCCAAGGGGGGAGGAGUGCCGCCCAAGUCAAGUGGAGGCCUCCCCCUUUAG